Long non-coding RNA from Glycine soja, 2443 nucleotides. RefSeq lists it as uncharacterized. NCBI's taxonomy places the organism in Eukaryota, Viridiplantae, Streptophyta, Magnoliopsida, Fabales, Fabaceae. The record is from RefSeq and is a predicted model, not a curated record. The transcript is spliced from 3 exons.
GCCUCUCCUCAAUCUCAGUCUUUUUGUUUUGUGGGGUGGUGGUGGUCUUGUCUGCUCAAGUAGUGCUUUUGGUUUUGUUUACUUAUGAGUUUUAAUUUUAUCUUUGACCAUAGCAGUUAGUUUAAAUGCCCUUUUGCACAAGCUAAUUUGGGAACAAAAAACAUCUGAAUGGGUAGCUAAAAAGCGCCAUAAGUGUAGCUAGCUAGUGUGAGUCAGUGCUCUCUCUUUCUCUCUCUCUUGCUUUGUCUAUAUAUAAGAACCUCUAAGCGGGUUAGGGUUUUGAGUGAGAUGGGUUAGUAGUAGUGUUGAGGGGAAUGUUGGCUGGCUCGAGGCUUUUUCUCAAAGGAGGUUCUCACUGGCAAGAACUAUAAGGCUUCGGACCAGGCUUCAUUCCCCUCAAAGCUCGUGUUUUUUGGGGGGCUUCAUAUCUUCUUGGAUUUGUGUUCAUCAAGUGCCAAAGGUGGUGUUGUGUUAUAUAUAUGCAUUAUUAUGUGUAUAUGUUUGGUUACAAGUGUGUAAGUUAGCCCUGCAAAGGUUAUGUUGAGAGGAAUGUUGUCUGGCUCGAGGUCAUGAUAUGGAGAUAUAUAUGAAAGUGUUUCAGUUAAAUUCCAGGGUAUAUAAAUUAAUGGAAAUUAAUUUAUACCCUAAAUGAUUCUCGGACCAGGCUUCAUUCCCCCCAGCCAACAUUUGCUACUACUCAAUACAACUACUUAAUUUGCGUUUGUUUUAUGAAGAUCCUCAUCUUCAUAGGAUUGUUUUGCAUCUUGCUAUCAGAUACCACCGAAGAAGGCUUUUUGAUUUACAGAUAACUCUUCCAAGAUUGGAGAAUUUCCAGCUGUAAGGUUACUUGUAUAUAUAAUAAAAGGUUUGUUAAAAUUUCCUAUGAAGAUAUACACUAUGGUUUACCCUUUUACUUUCUAACCUUGUUUCCAUUAUUAAACAAGUCAGUUACCUUAUGAAGGCUUCUUCAAAGUGUCAAGCUUGAAAGGACUAUACUAAAAGUGAGUGAGUACUUAUGUAUUUUUUUUAAAAUUUUUUUUGACAUGGUUGGAUCAUUUGAUUUCUCUUCUUCUUUUGAAUGAGAAAAAUACAAGGACCAAAAAGUUACUCAGUUUGCAGCUGUUUAUAUGAUGCUCACUCAUAUAGCUCACUCAUGAAGGAAUUAACAUACUCUCCCGAUCGAUCUCAGAGAGAGAGAUAAAGAUGAUAUAGACAUGCAUGCUUCAGCGUCACCAAUGCCAAGUCCAAGUCUCUCUAGUUUUCUGCAAUAUUAAUUUAAGAUUAGCAUUUGACAGAUGAGAGAAUGUGAAUAGGAAUAUAUUAUUAUUAUUAUUAUUAUUAUUAUGAAUAAAUAAAUUGGGUAAUCAAUCCCGGCCCGAAUGUUCAUUUCUCAUGGACAAGAAAGGUGAAAGCAUGUACAGUGAAAACCUAUCAGAUGUGAAAUUCUUGCUUGCUUGCUUUUAUCUGCGGUACUCUUAGCCAGCUUUGUCUCUAGGUCUUUGUAGGGUUUCAAACUACAACAUCCCUCCCCUAUUCUGAAGUCCUUUCAGCUUUUUUUGAAUUAACCCGUUUUCAAACUGGUGAGUGAAAAUUAUAGGGAAGGGAAACCUCUCAAUUAACUGGGGAAAAAGGGCAUCAUUUUCAUGAAUCUGAUCUGAAUGAAAUUUGUAUUACAGGUAAUUCAACAGUUACCAAGUGAAAUUCUUUGCAGUAAAAAACCUAAAAGUGAAAUGGCAGGGAUGAGUGAAGGUGGUGAAGGAGGAAGAUGAUUUCCUUCCCUUGAUGAAAUAGAAAUAGAUAAGAGAUGUGCUGGAACAGUUAACGAGAAGAAGUGAUGACAAGAGAAGCUAGCUAUGGAUUCUCUCUGUCACUGUGUGAGACUCUCUUUACAGAGAAUAGAUAUUACAUGUUUCCAUUAUGAUGAAGAACCAAAUAUGUGAAUGCACAAGCUGAUGCAAACUAAACAGAGAAAGAGAAAAUUUACAAUUACACAAGUGCUUUCUUGAUGGAUACAUAUAUGUAUGUGUGAGUUCUGAGAUGUGUGUUUUAGUGUAAUGUAUUUAUGGGGCUUUUAAAGUUGUUGAAAAUUCAGAAACCAUCUUUGGGAAAGCUUUGAUUCCGUGGAGUCAUACAGUAGAAGAGAUUUUGAAAUUGGAAAUGCAAAAGAAACAAGAGAGAGAGAGUAGUAAAAUAAAUGACGACUAUCUGACGAAUCUUGGGAAAUGAAACAGAGACAGAGCUACCCGGGGAACGAUUCAUCGCCGAGCAAGCCAACUUGGUCUCUGUCUCUUUAAAGAGGGGAAACUACUGCCAACUCCUUUAUUGCUCACAUUUUCAUCAUCAAUUUAUUAUCACCACUGCCCACCUAGGAUUACAGAAUUUUUUUUCAAACACAAAUUUCUCCUCAAUGUUUUAGUCUUAGGAUUAAUAAUUAAAAAAUAAA